AACGCACGAGACCUGCGGACCUGCGGAAGGAUCAUUACCGAGUUAUCCAACUCCCAACCCCUGUGAAUUAUACCUUUAAUUGUUGCUUCGGCGGGACUUCGCGCCCGCCGGGGACCCAAACCUUCUGAAUUUUUUAAUAAGUAUCUUCUGAGUGGUUAAAAAAAUGAAUCAAAACUUUUAGCAACGGAUCUCU
This 193-nucleotide unclassified non-coding RNA is filed under the name soil metagenome. RNAcentral describes it as "partial contains 5.8S ribosomal RNA, internal transcribed spacer 2, and large subunit ribosomal RNA". The record is from RNAcentral.